This 465-nucleotide ribosomal RNA is filed under the name uncultured bacterium. RNAcentral's name for it is "bacterial SSU rRNA". It matches the Rfam family "Bacterial small subunit ribosomal RNA", at positions 33 to 507 of the family's 1533-position model. The record is from RNAcentral.
GAGACGACGCUGGCGGCGCGCCUAACACAUGCAAGUCGAACGAGCGAGAGAGAGCUUGCUUUCUCGAGCGAGUGGCGAACGGUGAGUAACGCGUGAGGAACCUGCCUCAAAGAGGGGACAACAGUUGGAAACGACUGCUAAUACCGCAUAAGCCCACGGCUCGGCAUCGAGCAGAGGGAAAAGGAGCAAUCCGCUUUGAGAUGGCCUCGCGUCCGAUUAGCUAGUUGGUGAGGUAACGGCCCACCAAGGCGACGAUCGGUAGCCGGACUGAGAGGUUGAACGGCCACAUUGGGACUGAGACACGGCCCAGACUCCUACGGGAGGCAGCAGUGGGGAAUAUUGCACAAUGGGGGAAACCCUGAUGCAGCGACGCCGCGUGGAGGAAGAAGGUCUUCGGAUUGUAAACUCCUGUUGUUGAGGAAGAUAAUGACGGUACUCAACAAGGAAGUGACGGCUAACUACGUG